This 422-nucleotide ribosomal RNA is filed under the name uncultured bacterium. RNAcentral's name for it is "bacterial SSU rRNA". It matches the Rfam family "Bacterial small subunit ribosomal RNA", at positions 355 to 772 of the family's 1533-position model. The record is from RNAcentral.
UCGGGAAUUUUGGGCAAUGGGCGAAAGCCUGACCCAGCAACGCCGCGUGAAGGAUGAAAUCCUUCGGGAUGUAAACUUCGCAAGAACGGGAAGAAUAAGUAAGAGCUAACAUCUCUUAUGAUGACGGUACUGUUUGUAAGCUCCGGCUAACUCCGUGCCAGCAGCCGCGGUAAUACGGAGGGGGCAAGCGUUGUUCGGAAUUACUGGGCGUAAAGCGCGCGUAGGCGGUUUUUCUAGUCAGGCGUGAAAGCCCUGGGCUCAACCCGGGAAUUGCGCUUGAUACUGGAUGACUAGAGGCCGGGAGAGGGUAGUGGAAUUCCCAGUGUAGAGGUGAAAUUCGUAGAUAUUGGGAAGAACACCAGUGGCGAAGGCGGCUACCUGGACCGGUACUGACGCUGAUGCGCGAAAGCGUGGGGAGCAAA